RNAcentral lists this ribosomal RNA (254 nucleotides) under uncultured bacterium. RNAcentral describes it as "partial 16S ribosomal RNA". It matches the Rfam family "Bacterial small subunit ribosomal RNA", at positions 524 to 776 of the family's 1533-position model. The record is from RNAcentral.
UACGUAGGGGGCAAGCGUUGUCCGGAUUUAUUGGGCGUAAAGAGCGUGUAGGCGGCUUGGAAGGUCAGCUGUGAAAACUCGAGGCUCAACCUCGAGACGUCGGUUGAAACCACCUGGCUAGAGUCCGGAAGAGGAGAGUGGAAUUCCCGGUGUAGCGGUGAAAUGCGCAGAUAUCGGGGAAGAACACCCGUGGCGAAGGCGGGUCUCUGGACAGUUCCUGACACUGAGGCACGAAGGCCAGGGGAGCAAAUGGG